CUCUGUUGGUAAAACUAGCAUUUAUUUAUUUAUCUGGAGGUAUUCUUUCAAAAUGUUAAGUAAAGAUAUUAGUUGCUCAUUUUUGAGAAAAUGCAGUGAGAGUGAAUACUAUACGAGUUGUCGUAACCGAGACAUCACUUUGUCUAAUUCUACGAUCGAAUAGUUUACUAAAAAGAAAUGCAAUUAUUGUGGUUUCUGGCUUAGUGUUUCUAUUUUUCUUCGUCACAAAUGAGCCGCAACCACUGGAACCAUGGAAGAAAACCACUCGACGCGACAAAGAAUGCAUCUUUUUGCCCGCAAAUCGAUUUGUUCAACCCAAAGAUGAAGAGCUCCUCUCAAGUCCUGGGAAGGAGGACUGUCUCGUCCUCAAUGUUUAUUCUCCAGACGUGAGUUCUCAAGCAAGCAAACAUACAAUUCAAGCACUUUUCUAGGAAGCUUCUAAUUCCUGCUUGUUGUGGUUGUACCGGUGGAAAAAUAAAUAUGAGAACAUCAUUUCGGAAUUUUAAAACUGUUCACUAGUUUAAAUUGGACGUAUUUCUACCAAACAGACCUAUGUGCAGGCGAGGAAUGUGGGGUGUGCUCGUGGAAGCUGCAUAAGAAGCAAUGCAAAAGUGGGCAUGAUUCCUUUUGAAGAAUGGAAAAGCGGGAUAUUGCAUUCUAUCAAACAGACCUAUGUGCAACUGAAUGCGGAAUUCAUGAGCCGCGGGCAUGGCAAGAGAGCCUUGUGGACAGGGCUCAUGAGUUAAAGAAGAGCAAGAACGGCGGAGGUGGCAAGUGGCCACGGCUUCAGUGCCGCUGACGUCACUGGCGCUUAAUUAUUCUCAUUCACUCUUACGGCCAGAGAACUAACGAGCACACCCCAUAUUCCUCACUUGCACAUAGGUCUGUUUGGUAGAAAUACGUCCAAAUAUUGUUUUACUUUUAAAAAUACUGCUGAAAAAAAUUCAUGGAUGUGAUUUAAUGCGUUUCCGCGUUUAAUUUUGGACUUUGCCAAAUCAGAUCUCUAAUCUUAAAUGUUCAAGAGU
This 1025-nucleotide long non-coding RNA is filed under the name Bemisia tabaci. Its description in RNAcentral is "lncRNA ENSSWEETPG011466". The record is from RNAcentral. Lineage: Eukaryota; Metazoa; Arthropoda; Insecta; Hemiptera; Aleyrodidae.